This 444-nucleotide ribosomal RNA is filed under the name uncultured bacterium. RNAcentral describes it as "SSU rRNA". It matches the Rfam family "Bacterial small subunit ribosomal RNA", at positions 26 to 518 of the family's 1533-position model. The record is from RNAcentral.
AGAGCGAACGCUGGCGGCAGGCCUAACACAUGCAAGUCGAGCGCCCCGCAAGGGGAGCGGCAGACGGGAGAGUAACACGUGGGAACGUACCCUUCAGUUCGGAACAACCCAGGGAAACUUGGGCUAAUACCGAAUACGUCCGUAAGGAGAAAGAUUUAUCGCUGAAGGAUCGGCCCGCGUCUGAUUAGCUUGUUGGUGAGGUAAUGGCUCACCAAGGCUACGAUCAGUAGCUGGUCUGAGAGGAUGAUCAGCCUCACUGGGACUGAGACACGGCCCAGACUCCUACGGGAGGCAGCAGUGGGGAAUAUUGGACAAUGGGCGCAAGCCUGAUCCAGCCAUGCCGCGUGGGUGAUGAAGGCCCUAGGGUUGUAAAGCCCUUUCGGCGGGGAAGAUAAUGACGGUACCCGUAGAAUAAGCCCCGGCUAACUUCGUGCCAGCAGCCGC